ACUACCAGUGAGAUUUUAUCUUCGCAUUUAAGUUUGUUUAUUAAUUAUGAGUAGGUUUUGAUAAUUUGUUUGGAUUGGUUUGAAUUUGUUUGGGUCCUUAUGUUAUAUUUGGUUCUCAUUAUGGUAUUUGAGUUAUAAGUGGUUCUAUUUUGAUUGUUUGGGUUAAACUGUGCCAUAGUACAUCCACCUCUGCCCCAAUCAGACCGUACCUCCAUUGAUGUAGUCUCUAUUUUUUGUUUCUUUAACGUUUGCUAUUCGAAGAGAGCGUUGGUAAGGGCAUGUGAAAAGAGUUGGAAAGAGAGCAAUCUGACAUCUCAGGUCAGGCCGCCUAAAACCUUUAUAGAUUUGCUUAGUUCUUUGCCCAGCACAACACUCGGGAAAUUUACAAGAAGAGUUGAGGAACAAACUGAAAGGUCUUAAUUGAUACUUAGAGUCAGAGAGUAGUUGAAAAAGAGGUAGAGACAAAUAAGAAAAUGAAUAUUGGUGAUAUUGAGAAAAGUGCAAAUAUUAUCAAGAUCUUAAUGAAGUAGGAGUUGAUGGAAAAGGACAGUAGUAGGAAGCAUCAAGAAAUUGAAAAUCAAAUGUACACGGCUCAAGGAAAGAGCAAGGCAAUGCAGAUUUCUGUUGGUACUGGCUCUUAUCUUUUAAUGAUUGCUAUUGAGAAAAUUCUAUAAUGGAAGACUUGGUUAGGCCUACCAUAGCCACUUUCUUUGCUUUUACAUAGGCUUGGACAUUUGAUCUUGAGUGACCAAUUUUUAGUUUCAAUCAGUGCAAGUGCAAAAUAAGGAUUGGCUUUAAGGGAUC
Molecule: long non-coding RNA, 804 nt
Organism: Quercus robur (English oak)
Lineage: Eukaryota; Viridiplantae; Streptophyta; Magnoliopsida; Fagales; Fagaceae
Exons: 3
Source: RefSeq, a predicted model, not a curated record